AGAACGAACGCUGGCGGCAGGCCUCAAACAUGCAAGUCUAGGGGGCGUAGCAAUACGUCACCGGCGGACGGGUGCGUAACACGUGGGAAUGUACUUAUUGGUUCGGAACAACUCAGGGAAACUUGAGCUAAUACCGAAUGUGCCCGAAAGGGGAAAGAUUUAUCGCCAAUAAAUCAGCCCGCGUCCGAUUAGCUAGUUGGUGGGGUAAAGGCCCACCAAGGCGACGAUCGGUAGCUGUUCUGAGAGGAAGAUCAGCCACACUGGGACUGAGACACGGCCCAGACUCCUACGGGAGGCAGCAGUUGGGAAUCUUGGACAAUGGGGGAACCCUGAUCCAGCCAUGCCGCGUGAGUGAUGAAGGCCUUCGGGUUGUAAAACUCUUUCGACGGGGACGAUAAUGACGUACCCGUAGAAGAAGCUCCGGCUAACUUCGUGCCAGCAGCCGC
Molecule: ribosomal RNA, 446 nt
Filed under: uncultured bacterium
Lineage: Bacteria
Description: SSU rRNA
Rfam family: Bacterial small subunit ribosomal RNA
Source: RNAcentral